Molecule: long non-coding RNA, 424 nt
Filed under: Dermacentor andersoni
Lineage: Eukaryota; Metazoa; Arthropoda; Arachnida; Ixodida; Ixodidae
Description: uncharacterized LOC126538700
Source: RNAcentral
UAGAACAUGUACACGCGUAUGUUGUUGCAAACGUUGCCAGGUGGUGUGUGCAAUACAUGACUUGUGCUGUCAAGGCUCGCGUAGCUUCCCGUUAGGCCUCGCGUUCGGGUUCCGUCUAGGUGGAACGUACUGGCGUGUGUUGCUUCGGAAUAAUAUGAACGCCUGUGCAAGAUGGACGUGUUCCAGCAGCGUGUAUGUGAAUUGUCUUAGGAAAAUUACCCAUAUUUUUGGGCUCUGCAAUUUUAUCUCGGUGGCAGUCGGAAUAUUUUUCAUCGCCUCACAACUACUGGGAGCAGGAGUAUGCAAUGCAGCUCCAUUUACUAAUGUCGACGUUCCAGGUUCCCAGGUAGAAAGCUACCCUCCUGUAGUAUGGGACGAAGUUGACCCCUACCUCCAAUAAUAAAAAUUAGCGUGAGAAACUUCA